This is a long non-coding RNA of Antechinus flavipes (yellow-footed antechinus), 654 nucleotides long. RefSeq lists it as uncharacterized. The record is from RefSeq and is a predicted model, not a curated record. The transcript has 2 exons. NCBI's taxonomy places the organism in Eukaryota, Metazoa, Chordata, Mammalia, Dasyuromorphia, Dasyuridae.
GAGAGAGAGACAGAGAAAUACAGAGAGACCCAUACUUGAGCUGUCUCAGGAGAGGACAGGCUUUUUAGGCCUCUCACAGCUAUGAGUGGGGAGGAUGUCCCAGAGCCCAUCCGCUGUUGCUUAGCCACCAGGUCUCUCAUACACUCCGCCUUCCUGGGGACCGGUUAGAGCGGCCGCAUCCUCUGUGCCGAGGGGACAGGCCGGGCCCUGGGCUCGGAGCCUGUCCAGCACCAAGCUCCUUUGUCCUUCUCUCCCCGAUGCUCUGUUGGAAAGGCCCGGACAAUUUUGCCUCCAUUCUUCCUGCCAACGAUGGAUCCGCUGGACGCUGUUCCCGCCUCUGGUUCCUAGGUUUCCCCACGAGAGCAUACCCUCUUUAUCUACAAUGCUCCUCUCAUUUCACCCUUUUAAAUAAGGUGCCCCUUUCUAGAGCCACGGGCUAUUCUCACUAAGUCUCAGUGACUUCUGUGUUCAAAUUUGCCUCCUUGAAUUUCAUAAAGUAUGAGGGGCAAGAUUUGAACCCAGCACCUUUGACUCAAAUUCUUGUGUCUUUUUCAUUAUUCCAACAUAACUCUAAAUCAGGGGUUAUGACCUGAGUUCUGUGUAAUUUUAAUUUUUUUGAUAACCCCAUUUCAAUAAAAUUGGUUUCCUUUGUAA